CGCCUGGGGAGUACGGCCGCAAGGUUAAAACUCAAAUGAAUUGACGGGGGCCCGCACAAGCGGUGGAGCAUGUGGUUUAAUUCGACGCAACGCGAAGAACCUUACCUGGCCUUGACAUCCAGAGAACUUUCCAGAGAUGGAUUGGUGCCUUCGGGAACUCUGAGACAGGUGCUGCAUGGCCGUCGUCAGCUCGUGUCGUGAGAUGUUGGGUUAAGUCCCGUAGCGAGCGCAACCCCUAUCCCUGGUUGCUAGCAGGUAAUGCUGAGAACUCCAGGGAGACUGCCGGUGACAAACCGGAGGAAGGUGGGGAUGACGUCAGGUCAUCAUGGCCCUUAUGGCCAGGGCUACACACGUGCUACAAUGGCGCGUACAGAGGGCUGCCAACUCGCGAGAGUGAGCCAAUCCCUUAAACCGCGUCGUAGUCCGGAUCGGAGUCUGCAACUCGACUCCGUGAAGUCGGAAUCGCUAGUAAUCGCGAAUCAGAAUGUCGCGGUGAAUACGUUCCCGGGCCUUGUACACACCGCCCGUCACACCAUGGGAGUGGAUUGCACCAGAAGUAGUUAGUCUAACCUUCGGGAGGACGAUUACCACGGUGUGGUUCAUGACUGGGGUGAAGUCGUAACAAGGUAACCGUA
This 635-nucleotide ribosomal RNA is filed under the name uncultured Marinobacter sp. Its description in RNAcentral is "bacterial SSU rRNA". It matches the Rfam family "Bacterial small subunit ribosomal RNA", at positions 870 to 1504 of the family's 1533-position model. The record is from RNAcentral. Lineage: Bacteria; Pseudomonadati; Pseudomonadota; Gammaproteobacteria; Pseudomonadales; Marinobacteraceae.